Molecule: ribosomal RNA, 353 nt
Filed under: uncultured bacterium
Lineage: Bacteria
Description: bacterial SSU rRNA
Rfam family: Bacterial small subunit ribosomal RNA
Source: RNAcentral
GGAGGAUGCAAGCGUUAUCCGGAUCUAUNGGGUNUAAAGGGUGCGUAGGCGGCACGCCAAGUCAGCGGUGAAAUUUCCGGGCUCAACCCGGACUGUGCCGUNGAAACUGGCGAGCUAGAGUACACAAGAGGCAGGCGGAAUGCGUGGUGUAGCGGUGAAAUGCAUAGAUAUCACGCAGAACCCCGAUUGCGAAGGCAGCCUGCUAGGGUGAAACAGACGCUGAGGCACGAAAGCGUGGGUAUCGAACAGGAUUAGAUACCCUGGUAGUCCACGCAGUAAACGAUGAAUACUAACUGUUUUGCGAUACAAUGUAAGCGGUACAGCGAAAGCGUUAAGUAUUCCACCUGGGGAGU